CUACGGGGUGCUGCAGUAGGGAAUAUUGCACAAUGGGCGCAAGCCUGAUGCAGCCAUGCCGCGUGUAUGAAGAAGGCCUUCGGGUUGUAAAGUACUUUCAGCGGGGAGGAAGGGAGUAAAGUUAAUACCUUUGCUCAUUGACGUUACCCGCAGAAGAAGCACCGGCGAACUCCGUGCCAGCAGCCGCGGUAAUACGGAGGGUGCAAGCGUUAAUCGGAAUUACUGGGCGUAAAGCGCACGCAGGCGGUUUGUUAAGUCAGAUGUGAAAUCCCCGGGCUCAACCUGGGAACUGCAUCUGAUACUGGCAAGCUUGAGUCUCGUAGAGGGGGGUAGAAGUCCAGGUGUAGCGGUGAAAUGCGUAGAGAUCUGGAGGAAUACCGGUGGCGAAGGCGGCCCCCUGGACGAAGACUGACGCUCAGGUGCGAAAGCGUGGGGAGCAAACAGGAUUAGAUACCCCGGUAGUC
RNAcentral lists this ribosomal RNA (464 nucleotides) under uncultured bacterium. Its description in RNAcentral is "partial 16S ribosomal RNA". It matches the Rfam family "Bacterial small subunit ribosomal RNA", at positions 339 to 795 of the family's 1533-position model. The record is from RNAcentral.